GUUGAUACACUAAUUCCCGUAUGAUCACCGAAGUUAAGCAAUGUCGAGCCUUGUCAGUGCCGAUGUGUGUGACCACUUGGGAAUAACACGUACUGUAAG
Molecule: non-coding RNA, 99 nt
Organism: Acanthosepion pharaonis
Lineage: Eukaryota; Metazoa; Mollusca; Cephalopoda; Sepiida; Sepiidae
Source: the annotation of a GenBank genome assembly